RNAcentral lists this ribosomal RNA (533 nucleotides) under uncultured bacterium. RNAcentral describes it as "bacterial SSU rRNA". It matches the Rfam family "Bacterial small subunit ribosomal RNA", at positions 976 to 1509 of the family's 1533-position model. The record is from RNAcentral.
CGGCCUUGACAUACUAAGAACUUUCCAGAGAUGGAUUGGUGCCUUCGGGAACUUAGAUACAGGUGCUGCAUGGCUGUCGUCAGCUCGUGUCGUGAGAUGUUGGGUUAAGUCCCGCAACGAGCGCAACCUUUUCCUAUUUGCCAGCGGGUCAUGCCGGGAACUUUAAGGAUACUGCCAGUGACAAACUGGAGGAAGGCGGGGACGACGUCAAGUCAUCAUGGCCCUUACGGCCAGGGCUACACACGUGCUACAAUGGUCGGUACAAAGGGUUGCUACCUCGCGAGAGGAUGCUAAUCUCAAAAAAGCCGAUCGUAGUCCGGAUCGCAGUCUGCAACUCGACUGCGUGAAGUCGGAAUCGCUAGUAAUCGCGGAUCAGAAUGCCGCGGUGAAUACGUUCCCGGGCCUUGUACACACCGCCCGUCACACCAUGGGAGUUUGUUGCACCAGAAGUAGGUAGUCUAACCGCAAGGAGGACGCUUACCACGGUGUGGCCGAUGACUGGGGUGAAGUCGUAACAAGGUAAGCGUAGAUGA